RNAcentral lists this non-coding RNA (48 nucleotides) under Schistosoma mansoni. Lineage: Eukaryota; Metazoa; Platyhelminthes; Trematoda; Strigeidida; Schistosomatidae. The record is from RNAcentral.
GUCCAGCUGACGAGUCCCAAAUAGGACUUGAGGCGCGUCAAGCUGGAU